GACGAACGCUGGCGGCGUGCUUAACACAUGCAAGUCGAACGAGGAAAUUGACUUCGGUUGAUUUUCGAGUGGCGGACGGGUGAGUAACGCGUGAGCAAUCUGUCCUACAGAGGGGGAUAACAACUGGAAACAGUUGCUAAUACCGCAUAAGACCACGAGGCCGCAUGGCCAUGGGGUAAAAGGAGCAAUCCGCUGUAGGGUGAGCUCGCGUCCGAUUAGAUAGUUGGUGAGGUAACGGCCCACCAAGUCUGCGAUCGGUAGCCGACCUGAGAGGGUGACCGGCCACAUUGGGACUGAGACACAGCCCAGACUCCUACGGGAGGCAGCAGUGGGGAAUAUUGCACAAUGGGCGAAAAGCCUGAUGCAGCAACGCCGCGUGAAGGAUGAAGGCCUUCGGUCGGUAAACUUACUGUCCUUGGGAAGAAGAACUGACGGUACCCUUCGGAGGAAAGGCCCCCGGCCGUAACUACGUG
Molecule: ribosomal RNA, 473 nt
Filed under: uncultured bacterium
Lineage: Bacteria
Description: bacterial SSU rRNA
Rfam family: Bacterial small subunit ribosomal RNA
Source: RNAcentral